RNAcentral lists this unclassified non-coding RNA (63 nucleotides) under Flavobacterium saliperosum. Its description in RNAcentral is "Flavo-1 RNA". Lineage: Bacteria; Pseudomonadati; Bacteroidota; Flavobacteriia; Flavobacteriales; Flavobacteriaceae. The record is from RNAcentral.
AAAUAGCCCUGAUGGACGUGGAUCCCGAUUUUUCAUCGGGAGGAACAUACGACAGGAAUUGCG